AAACGACUCUUGCUAGACAAGUUUAUGAUGAUAUUUACAUGGAGCAUCACUUCUACAUUCGCGCUUGGAUUACCGUAUCUCAAAUGCAUCAACAUAGAGAAAUGUUGUUGGGCAUUUUGCGGUGUUUUUCACUUGUCAAUGACAACACCUAUCUAAAGAGUACUGAGCAAUUAGCCGAGCAAGUUUAUAGAAGUUUGAAGGGAAGGAGAUAUCUCAUUGCAAUGGAUGAUGUGUGGGACACCAGUGCAUGGGAUGUUGUGAAAAGAUCUUUUCCAGAUGAUAAAAAUGGAAGCCGUGUCAUACUUACUAGUCGGCUAGCAAAUGUGGGUAUCUAUGCUAGCUCAGGCAGCCCUCAUUAUAUGCAGUGCUUAAGUGUGGAAGAGAGCUUGAAGUUGUUCAACUUAAAGGCAUUUGGAAGGGAGACUUGCCCCCUUGAGCUGGAGAAAGCUACAAAGCAAAUAGUCGAGAAAUGUCAAGGACUACCACUAGCAAUCGUUGUGGUGGCUGGAUUUUGUUCCAAGAUAAGCAAGACAGAAAACUGUUGGGAAGAUGUAGCACAUAAAAUUGGUAUGGUUGUGAGUAGGGGCACAGAAGAAUGCCUGGACUUACUCACCUUGAGUUAUAACCAUUUGCCACAUCACCUGAAGCCAUGCUUCCUGUAUAUGGGAGCUUUUCCAAAAGACUUUGAGAUUAGUGUUUCAAGACUAAUCAAGCUAUGGAUUGCUGCGGAAUAUGUAAGAUGCAAACCUAAAAAGGACUUCGAAGAAGUUGCUGACGGAUACCUAAGAGAUCUUAUAGAUAGAAGUCUAAUUAUGGUUAAGAGAAGGACCUCAAGUGGCAAGGUCAAAACAUGCGAAGUUCAUGAUCUACUGCAUGAUUUAAUCCUAAGAGUAGCAUGGAAAGAGAGAUCGAUCUACUUUGCUAAAUCUAAUGUGAUUGUUUAUCAACCAGUGGCAUCUUUUGAACAUCGCAUCAUUUUCUAUUUUCCCAAUGUUUGUGAUAAAUCUUCACUUCCUCGUGCAAGUUCCUAUCUUUGUUUUGGAAGAGAUGGAACUCCUGGAUCCUGUUCUCAGGUUGAUUCGUUUCUCACCUUUACCAACUUCACAUGUUUAACAGUAUUGGAUAUGUGUUUUCAGCCAUUUGACCAUCUACCGUCAGAAAUAUGGGAAUUAUCUCAACUGAGGUAUCUUGCCCUCGCCAGUUUUAGUGUUCUCCCAUCAUCAGUUCGCAAUCUUAGGUGUCUUCGGACACUAAUUCGUUACAGUCACCAGGCUAGUAUUUGUUUGCCGGCAGAGAUAUGGGUGAUUAAACAAUUAAGGCAUCUCUAUUUCAGGAAAUGCUUCUACUUUCCUAAUGUUCAACCUGAACAAGAAAAUUAUCUGCUCAAGUUAAGUCGCUCUAAUCUUGCAGAGCGUAGUUUCUCUAGUGUUGCAUUAACCAAUCUGCAAACCCUUUCUUACAUUACCUUUGGUAGUAUUACAAGGCGCGUCUUUGAAGGCAUGCCCAACCUGAAGAAGUUAGGAAUUCGUGAAAGUGAAGAAGAAUGCCUGACUGCUGAACAAAUGUCUGGAAAACUCAAGAAACUGGUUCUGUUGGAACACCUUGAAACAUUCAAGGGUUUCUUUAUCAAACCAUGGAUACUUAAACAAUGUGAUGUUUUCCCACCAACCCUCAAGAAAUUGACGUUGCGGGGGUGCCAACUACCAUGGGACCAAAUGACGAUACUGUGCAAGUUACCCAAACUCGAGGUGCUCAAGCUCAAGGAUUAUGCUUUCCAAGGAUCAGAAUGGGAGCCAACUGACGAACGCUUUCAGCAGCUAAAAUUCCUACUGUUGGAUGGGACUGAUCUUAUCCACUGGAAAGCCAGUUCUAUUCAGUUCCCUAAGCUUGAGAGUCUUGUUCUGAAGAAUUGUUAUUGCCUGUAUGAGAUUCCUGAUGAAGUAGCGGAAAUACCUACCUUGCAGUUCAUUGAAUUGUAUCACUGUAGCUCUUCUGCUGAUGACUCCGCAAAUAGGAUUCAAGAAGAACAACAUAGCAUAGGAAAUGACGAUCUUGUGGUGCGGAUCCACAAAUUUUACAACUGUGAGUUUUACAUGCACUCGUUGAAUUUUCGUUCAUGCAAAGAUCAACUGAUACCAUACUGUAGUAACUAUUUUGUUCUAUUUGUGCUGCAGCUGAACCUUAGGGCCUCCGUUUGUCUAAUAUUUGGCGCGCCCCCUCGACAAGCAAAAGGCUAAUGCAGAGGUUUUAACUUGUUAAACUUCUAAUUCUUUUGUGAUUGCUGAUAUUGGGAGUUAUUUAGGUUGCAUUGAUGCUACAAAAGCUUUUUUUGCCAGGAAAGUUUAGCUUUCCCAGGAAAAAUUCAUCAACUUGGCUAGCAACAGUUGACGAAUUGUCCAGGCGGGGAGUUCCGAUGUCCAGAGACUCUGCACUCUGUGACACUGGAUUGGAGGAAUCAUUUGCUCACCUCUUCUUUGAUUGCAUAUAUCUUAGCUCAAUCCGGAAGGUUUUAUUGAAGUGUUUAGGUGUUACACGACAUUCCACAUGCUGUGAAACUGAAAUUACAUCGUUGACACAAAGAGCACAGAGAAUCAGACCAAAAGCUGAGAUUCUGAGGUUCCUAAUUCAACGCAGCAGUUUACCAUGUCUGGUUGGAAGAAAUACCAGAAGAUUCCAACAAGUCCAGUGAGUGUGUUCAUACAGAUUGAAGGAGAUAGUAGUUCAGCUAGAUAUCAGAGAUAUUCACCUAGCUAAAUGGAAGCAAUUGCUAGUGGCAUUGAACAGUUAUCCAGUCUAAGAAAUAGAUUUGCCUGAUGUUGUCUUUUUUUUUUUCCUUAAAUAGGAGUGCUUCUAAAAUUUUGAGGUCUAGUUCCUAGCGUUCAUAUGAACUAGCAGUUGUAAAUAGACUAACUUGGUUGAAUACAAUUUCCCUGUUCCUACAAAUGGAAUAGAUCUAUAUUUUCUGUUUUAUUGGUGCUCUGACUGAAAUUAACUCUCAGCAUCUUGCACUUUCUGAUUUAUUCUGAGAGAGUAAGCACCUGAUGCUGUUGUUGAAUUUCUCUUGUUAAAUUCGAAACAGUUACUGCUUUGUCAUGUGGAUUUGCUUUCAGGACUAAAGGAUCAAGUUGAGUCUCUUCAUAGAGCUUAAUUUGAUGAAAAUUUUCUUAAGGACUCUCGUUAGAAGUACAGUGAGUUGCCACACCUGGUCAGCUUUUGAAGUUGCUGCAAGAAGGUUAGUAGGCCUACUCUUACUGAUUUAGAAGUUCACUAGGUUUGCUUCAUUUUCUGCGUCAACAUGUUAUCUUAACUCUUUAUUCUAUUAUCUUUUCAUGCAUCAUGUUUGCAGCAGAAAAUUAUUUAAGCAAAGAGAAAGUCUCCUAAAAUUUAAUAUCAUCAAUUAAAAAUUAUCACGGAUUACAUUGUUUUAUUAACUUUUGUAAAACAGUUAUUUGGCCCAUGUUUCAUCAUGGGGACUGUUCUAUCCUAAUGUAAAUUUUUUAAUUAUGUUAUAAAGAUAUGUUUGUUGUUAUAAUAUAAUUACAGUGUAAAUUUUUGUAAUUAACCAUACACUGCUAUAAUACUUGCUAGUAGCUCUUUAGAUGAAAGGCAAAAGAAGAACAGAUUUAGAGGAAGAAGAAGAAGAAUGAGAUGAGUAGAUGAGAAAGAUUGUUAGAGAGUGAAUAGAUUUGUUGUAUUCAUCAUCCUUCAAUGUAUAUUGUCAUUUACAUUUAUAGGCUAGAGAUUAGGCUAACUAACUAACUAACUGGCCGUUAACACUAGUGUAACUAACUAAAAAACAGUUAUAAUAGAAAGCCCACUAGUCUAAUUAUUGCUUCUUCUAGAUUCUUCUUCACUCUCUUCUUUAUACUUCCAACACCCCCCUCAAGCUAGGAAGUAUUGAAUAUAUGAUGAAUGGAGUUAGGGCAUUGGUUUAUUUUGUGGGUGAGCAGUGAAGGCUCCCAUGAAGACCAUGUGGUUAUGUAUAGUGCUGAUAUGGGUAAGUAGUUGAAGUCCUUAAACGUUCCUUGGGUUGCAAUGUAGUGAGUUUUGAUCAUUCCUUGCACAAGUUUUUCCCUGAUAAAGAAGCAUUCAAUGUCAAUAUGUUUUGGUCUCUCAUGGUAUAUUGGAUUUGUUGCUAUUUGCAUGGCAGACUUGCUAUCACUGAACACAUGGUAGAACUACUUCACUCCCAACUGCUUUCAUCAGGCCUAGGAUACUGCAACAAGACUUCUAAACUCUGCUUCUGCUGAACUCUUAGAGACAGUAGUUUGCUUCUUUGAUUUCCAGGAAACUAGUGAUUCUCCAACCUUCACAAAGUAGCCUGUUACAGACCUUCUAGUCUGAGGGCAUGAUGCCCAGUCUGCAUCACAAUAGGCACUUAUUCUGUCAUCUGCAUUACUAGAUAGUAGCACACCUUGACCUAGUUGGUUCUUAACAUACUUCACAACCCUCAGUGCUGCUUCCAUGUGAGACUUCUUAGGAUCCUGAAGAAACUGACUUAAUGUCUGAACACAGAAGGUUAUGUCUGGCUUUGUCAUAGUCAGGUACAAUAGUUUACCAAUUAGCUUUUGGUAAGCAACUUGAUCUGUUGGAGGAUCCUCAGUAGACUUUCCAUGCUUAAUAUGUUCAUCAAACUAUUUGAAUGUCAGUUUGAUAUUGUAGUCCAUAGGAGUAGCUGUAGGUUUAGCUGUUUUUAAGCCUAAAUCAGACAAUAGUUCCAAGGCAUACUUCCUUUGAUGGAUCAAUAUCCCUUUAUCAGACCUUGCAAAUUCUGUUCCAAGGAAAAAUCUCAAUUCACCUAGAUCUUUCAUCUUGAAGUUCUGAUGUAGGAUUGUCUUGGUUUCUUCUAUCAGCUUUAAGCUAUCUCCAGUGAUCAACAUGUCAUCAACAUAUACUAGCACCAAUGUGACUCCUUCUAAUGUCUUUUUGAUGUAUAAUGAUGGAUCAAAUUGGCUCUGAGUGAACUGAGACCUUAGUAAUACCUCUGAUAACUUUGUAUUUCACUGCCUUGGUGCUUGUUUUAGUCCAUAUAGGGAUUUGAGUAGUCUACAUGCUACAUUCUCCCCCUGACUAGCAAAUCCUUGAGGUAGAUCCAUGUAGACCUCAUCAUUUAAAUCACCAUUCAAGAAUGCAUUAUAAACAUCCAUUUGAUGUAUAAACCAAUGCUUUCUAGCUACAGUAGCAAGGAUAAUUCUUACUGUUUUCAGUUUCACAACAGGUGAAAAUGUUUCUUUGUAGUCAAUUCCUUCUCUUUGUCCAUAUCCUUUUGCAACCAGUCUAGCUUUAAAUCUUUCAACAUCACCUGAAGCCUUAUGCUUUACUUUGUAUAUCCACCUGCAACCAAUAGAUUUCUUCCCUUUAGGCAAAGUAACUAUUUCCCAAGUAUGAUUGGAAUUCAGUGCAUCUAUCUCAUUCUUCAUUGCUUCCACACAUCUAGGGUCUUUACAAGCCUCAGUGUAACUUGUAGGUUCAGUGACACAAGAAGACUUCCGUACAUAGUCUUUAUAAGCUGAAUAGAGUUUGUCAUAUGACACAUGAUUGUCAAGUGCAUGAGGUACUUUCUUUGUAUUUUUGGAGACAAAAUCAUUCAUCCAUGCAGGUGGCUUUUUGUCCCUACUUGACUUCCUUUGGUCCUGAUGAGUAGAGUUUGCUGGAGUGAGAAUCACUUGCACUUGCUGCUUUUGUUGACCACUUGAGUUAGUGACCCCUUGAUCUCUAGUAGACCUUAUUUGAUAUACUUGAGUUACAGGUUGUAGACCUCUAGUAGAUCUUCUUUGAUAUACCUUAGUUAUGGAAUGUGUAGAGAGACGAGUAGCCUGUAAUUGCUGGUCCUGCUGACUUAUCUGACCAGGAACCUGCUGACUUUCCUGAUCAGGAACCCCUUGAGGUGCCAUGGUUGCUGUUAUCUGUGGACACAUCUCAUCACCACCUAGUAGUUGAAAUUGAUCUUCCAAAGGAAAAAUGUGAUGGGGUGCCUGAGUUUGUAGUUGUAGUAGCUUGAAUGGAAACACAUCUUCUCUGAAUGAGACAUCUCUACUGACAGAGAAGAUGUUAGUUGAUAUGUCAUACACUAAGUAUCCUUUCUAAGUGCUGGAAUAUCCCAUCAUGACACUUGUUCUUGCUUUAGGCAUGAGUUUGUCAUGCUCAUUUAACACCUUGACAUAGCAUAGACACCCCAUGACCUUGGGAUGAUCAGAGUUUGGCCUUUUACCAUACAAUUUCUCAUAAGAGGUUAAGUGCUGAACAACUGAGCUAGGUAGCCUAUUGAUGAUGUACACUGCAGUGAGAACACAAUAGCCCCAGAACCUUAUUGGAAUGCCAGCCUGAAACCUGAUAGCUCUUGUGACCUCUAAGAUAUGUUUAUGUUUUCUCUCAACAACAUCAUUUUGCUGAGGAGAAUAUGGGCAAGUUGUUUGAUGGAUUACACCAUUAUCUUGGAACAACUUUUGACACAAUGAGUUAACAAACUCUGUGCCAUUAUUAGUUCUGAUCACCUUGACAGUUUUUUCAAAUUGUGUUUUGACAUACAUAAGGAACUGCUGUACUUGACAAAAGACAUCUGACUUGAGCUUUAAUAGAAACACCCAAGUAAACCUUGAAAAGUCAUCAACAACUGUUAGAAAAUACUUGUUUCCAUUCAUAGUUGGUACUUUGUAUGGUCCCCACAAAUCCAUGUGCACAAGAUCAAAACAACAAGUAGUUUGAAUGUUAGUUGACACAAAUGGUAAUCUAGUCUGUUUGGCACUAGGACAAAUGCUACAUUGCUUUAUUCUGUCUUCUAUCACUUGUACUCCAUGAUCUACAACUCUCUUUAGUACACCAGUUGAAACAUGUCCUAAUCUUUGGUGCCACAGAUUCAUUUCAGCUUGUGUCUUUUCCACAGUUACUUCAGUAGUGACUUUGGUUACUCCUGCAACUUCAGUGCUUGGUUGUUCUUCUAGUAAGUAUAAACCUCCAUCAAGCUUUCCAAUACCCUUCACCUUUCCAGUAUAAAGAUCCUCGAAAACACAGAAAUUAGGGAAGAAGUUCACUGAACAAUUCCAUUCCUUAGUUACUUGUGACACUGAUAGGAGACUGCAUGAAAAUUAUGGGAUAUGAUAGAUAUUUGUAAUGGUGUUUCCUUCUGCUAAACAGCUAGUUCCUACAUGAGUGACCAUUGUAGUAUCACUAUUUGGUAGAUACACUUUCUUUGGAUUUUGUAACUCUGUAACAGUCUUGUUAAGUAAUAAUCUUGAAUUACCAACCAUAUGAUUGGUGUAAUCCGUUUCUGUGAACCAAAAGAAGCUAAACAAGCAGAAAUACCUGUACUUGUUACAUUUGCAGAUUCAGUAGAUGUGUUGAUAGAGUUACUCUUGUUUAUCAGUUGCAAGAUUUGCUCAUACUGUUCCUUGGUAAAAGCUGGAUUUCUAAUUUGACUUAGUUGAUCCAUCUGAGUACUUGCAGUUACUAAUUGUCCUGUAUCCUUAGUGCAGCAACUUGAGUUUUGAGAAAUACACAGAUACAGAGGCAGUACCUUGAGACAAUGUAGCAAUCUCUUUGUGAAGAUUGAAUGUUCUGGCCCCAUCCACUUUGUUAAACCUUUCAGACAACACUUGCCACAGAUGCAUACAUAAUUCCUCCUAGUAAUUCUUUAGAAACAAAGUUCAUGAUCCAAGAAAGUACAAUUGCAUUCACUAUUUCCCAAUGACUACUUAACUCAACUAAGAACUUGUCUUUAGGACAUGUUUCAUCCACCAUGCCCAGCUUAUUUCUUCCAAGUAAAGCAAUGCGCAUGGAUCUAAACCAAAUUGAGAAGUUCUCAACCCCUGUUAACUAAAAAAAAAUAAUUUGUAUGCCACUCACAUCAGAAGGACUUUGGAAGAGAGGAUGAUUGUAAUCCAAAGAACUUGGAGUAACUCUGGAACCCUCAGCAGCAGGAUUAACAGAAGCAUUUGAAUUCACCAUUGUUGCAUACCUUCAAUUCUUGAAUCAAGAUUCUUUGAUUUUCCAGUGAAAAAAUCAAUGCACCAGAAUCGAUCUUGCUCUACUAGUUUGCUAGUGAGUAAUGGCUAUGAUACCAUGUAAUUAACCAUACACUGCUAUACUACUUGCUAGCAGCUCUUUAGAUGAAAGGCAAAAGAAGUACAGAUUUAGAGGAAGAAGAAGAAGAAGAAUGAGAUGAGUAGAUGAGAAAGAUUGUUAAGAGUGAAUAGAUUUGUUGAAUUCAUCAUUCUUCAAUGUGUAUUGUCAUAUACAUUUAUAGGCUAGGGAUUAGGCUAACUAACUAACUAACUAGCCGUUAACACUAGUGUAACUAACUAAAAAACAAUUAUAAUAGAAAGCCCACUAGUCUAAUUAUUGCUUCUUCUAGAUUCUUCUCUACUCUCUUCUUUAUACUUCAACAAUUUUAGUAUUACAUAGUUAAAAAGAAUUAAAAAAAGUUGAUAUCGAAAACAAAAUAAACCUUUUUUCUGAUGAAUAGUAGAUUCCUUUUGGAGAAAAGAAAGCAAAAGAAAAAGAAAAAGAUUAGUUAGAAAGGCUUGCAUAGUGUUGCUUAAGUCAGAAAAAAAGAAGAAAAGGAGAUUAUAUAUCGUGGAGGGCUGCUUAGUAUUUAAUAAGUUGAAAAUGAUCUCACUUUCCCAUCAACUUGAAAGAGAAAGAGUAAUCAUUCAUUUUUCUUCAUCAUUUGACUUCAUCUUCUUCCUACUUCUCUUACUGCUUCUUCUCCACAACAUUAUUUUUCUCUUCUAGAACUCUUACGAAUUCCUGUACUUUUUUGUUUCACUUUAUCAUAGUUUCCACUUGGUAUUUCAUUAGAGAUCUUUUUCAGCUCAGUGACUAAAGGGUAGCCUUGGAGUAACUGGUAAAGUUGCUGCCAUGUGACCAGGAGGUCAUGGGUUCAAGCCUUGGAAAUAGCCUCUGGCAAAAAUGCAAGGUAAGGCUGCGUACGAUAUACUCUUGCAGAAAUACAAGGUAAGGCUGCGUACGAUACGAUACACCCUUGUGGUGGGGCUCUUCCCCGGACACCGCACAUAGCGGUAACUUUAGUGCACCGGGCUGCCCUUUUUUUCAGCUCAGUGACUGGUAUAUAUAUACAUGUUGAUUGAUUUUUCUUUGUCUAUCAGAAACAACCUCUCUAUCCCACAACAGUAGGGUAAGGUUUGCGUAUACCCCACCCUCCCUAGACCCCACUUGUGGAACUAUACUGGGUAUGUUGUUUGUUGAUUGUUGUUUUUGUUGUUUUCUCUGUUGCUAUUUCUGAUGUGUUUUGAUAUUUUUGACUCAUAUAUUAUUUGUUGCUUGCUGUUUUGGGUUAUUAAGAAGUUGUUUUGUAAUCUCUUAUAAUCACUUGAGCUUUUAGAUGAAGCUUUUGUGUUCUGCUUAAGAAAUGUUUUUGAAGAAAACAUAUAUAUAUAUAUAUAUAUAUAUCUAUAUAUAUAUUUAUAUUUGGAUUUGGUUUUGGUUUUGGUUUGGUUUGAUUUUGGAGAGCCAAUUGAUCUGUGAAAAAAGUUUUGAAAAUAAUUUCACAGAACAUUUGCUUUAGGUACGUUUUCUUGGUAUGUUUCUCACUCGUGGGAUUAUACUUGGUAUGUUGUUGUUCUUGUUGUGUUUGCUUUGGAUAUUUUAGUUAUUUUCUUCAAACGCCCAAGUUUAUUUUGUUACUUAUUUUCAGAAAAGCAUUUGUGAUUUAGUUUCCUUCAAUCAAAUUGAUUGUUUUUGAGCUGUUAUAGCAUCUGACUCUUUCCUUGUCUAGAUUGUUUUAUUUUGAGCCGGGGGUCUAUCCGAAACAACCUCUCUAUCUCACAUCUGAGGUAGUGGUAUGGACUGCGUACACUUACCCUCCCCAGACCCCACUUAGUGGGAAUAUACUGGGUAUGUUGUUGUUGUUGUUUGUUUCCUACAACAACAAACUUAAAGGCAAAUUCUAAGAAGGUGGUGCUGUGUGAUAAGAAGGUGCCGCCCAAGCUUAAAGGCAAAUUCUAUAGGGUGGUAGUCCGUCCGGCCUUGCUGUAUGGAGCGGAGUGUUGGCCAGUUAAGAACUCCCACAUCCAAAAAAUGAAGGUGGCAGAAAUGCGGAUGUUGCGCUGGAUGUGGAGUUAUUGUUUGUUAGGCUUAAGUUAAUCAUAUGAUUGCAAAGUUCGAUGUUUGUUUAGAAAAUUAACUUAAAGCUUUAUGACAUGACCCUAGAUAGGAAGGUCUGGAAGACGCGAAUUACGGCAGAAGAGUAGGGCCAGAUUGGGUCGCUAGUGUUGGGAAUUACUUGGUGGGGGUUUUUAUUUUUUAUUCCUGUUAUGAUUCCGUAUUCAGUGUUCCAUGCUUAUUACGAAUCUGUGUGCUUUCCUCUGCUUUCCUCUGUUUUAUAUUCCGUAUGGGUGCCGUAUUUAUGUUAUGUCAUCUGCUUCUGUGCUUUACUACGUGUUUGUGUGAUAUCUUGUGCCUGAGCCGGGGGUCUUUCGGAAACAGCCUUUCUACUUCAUCAGAGGUAGAGGUAUGGACUGCGUACAUCUUACCCCCCCCAAACCCCACUAAGUGGGAAUACACUGGGUUUGUUGUUGUUGUUGUUGUAUGUAUGUCUUUUUCUUCCCCAUGUUUUUUCUAAUCAAAGAGGCUAGUGCUACUAAUAAAUGAAAAACAAAUAUAUCGUCACAAAGAGAAGAUACCUGUAGAACAUAGGCAGCAUCAAGUGUGGUAAGAUGGACGAGACCUUUCUACCCUUAACAAGAGGUCUCGAGUUCGAAGAGGUUUCAGGUUCUAGUCUUGAUAAUGGACAAACUCCUGAUAUAAGGCCUUCCCCUUCAGUGGUACUAUAUGUCCAAAGACGGAUCCAUGAUUUUGAAUUUAUGAUUCCUAGAUCUUAGAAAAGGCAGUUUAAUAAGUCUGCAUCAAUUAUUUAUACAUAUUAAGCUAAUUUCUUAAUACAUAUAGGAUUUUGGCAAAAGUUAUUGUGUUCUGCUACACCCCUAACUAACAUUCUAGUUCCGCCCUCCCGUAUGUGUCACAAACUCGGGUUAGUUGAACCAGUGAGUUUUGAAUACCAGUGGUUAAACGGAAAAAGAAAGAAGAAAGCAAGGCAAUUUUUGAUAUGAUAGUAAGUUCGAAACAAAACAAUUGUUGAAAUAAAAGACGGCCUUGUAAUUUUUCUUAUGAUACGCAGUAUAAGUUAAAUCACCAGGCAUGAAUGGAGAUAUCUGUCAUUAAGCCUAUAAAAUAUAGUGUUUAGCUAUGUUUCACAUCUUCUAUCGCAUUGAUAUGAACUCAUGUCCAUUUUGUGGUGUCGUUCCUUUUCUGAUAAGUAGAGUUUGUAGUAUCUUGGUGGUGAAAUCAGAUAGCAGGUUAUUCUGACACAACCAAAUUCAAGAUGAAUACAGGGAUAAUUCUGGUACUUCAUCAUAAUGUUUGCGUGCUCUGUAAUAUUUAGUCAAAAGUGUCAAAAAUAACUGGGAAGUUUGAGGUUAAACAUAGCUUUAGAACUUGGUGUGAGGUGGCUUUAAUUUACCUUCUCUUUUUCCAAAAAUAUUUCUGUUGUGUUUGUUCAUUCUUCUUUUCAAAGUUCUCUUUUUCUCUUUUGCUAUUAGCUGUUUGAUUUCUCGACUUCCUCUUCCUCAAGAAUCCACAGUAAAUGCCAGUAGGGAUAAAUCAUAGCUUGAAUUUGCGAAGUUGGACUUUGGACUUGUCUCCUUGUGUGUAAUUACAUCAGUGGAAAUAUUUAGCUCUUGUCAUCAUAAAUAUACUUACAUUUAUGCAAGCUAAGUUUCCUAUUUCGUUCUUUCUUUUUUCCUUUACCCUUCUAUUUUUCUAACAAAAAUCAGUCUAAAUGGAGCAUUUGUAGGGUCAAGUUAAGCUUGAUGUAGAAUGGCUCAUGCUGCUAUCGUAUCUCUUCAACAAAAACUGCAGGGAAUGCUCAAAGGUGACAAUGCUAUUACCUUGCACUACGUCAAGCAGUCAGUUCCUGGCAUGCUUUUCUGGAGGACUCUGUGUCUGUUAGAAGUGCUCCCGAAGCAGUGAAUUAUUAGGAAAAGCGGGUUAAAUGUUUGGCAACUCAACUUCUAGAUAGCAUCAACUUAUAUGAUUUGGAAAAGAGAUCACCCUAUGGCUAUCCACAAAGUUGGAAAGUGAUCCAGGAAGAGGCAGUGACAGCAGGUUUCGAUAGCAUAAAUGAAUAUUUGAAGAAGGUUAUGAAUGCUCGGAAUGAUAUUGAUACUCUGCCAAUAUCGGAUACUGUGGAGAGUGAUUCAGAAUACAGUCUUCAUCUCCAAGAUACUGUGUUAGACCUUGAUAAUGACUUAAUGACUAUUAAAUCUCGGCUUGUAGGACCUCCUUCAAAUCUAGAUGUCAUCUCAAUUGUUGGCAUGGGAGGAAUUGGCAAAACGACUCUUUGCUAGACAAAUUUAUGAUGAUAUUUACAUGGAGCAUCACUUCUACAUUCGUGCUUGGAUUACUGAAUCUCAAGUGCAUCAACAUAGAGAAAUGUUGUUGGGCAUUUUGCGGUGUUUUUCACUUGUCAAUGACAACACCUACCUAAAGAGUACUGAGCAAUUAUCUGAGCAAGUUUAUAGAAGUUUGAAGGGAAGGAGAUAUCUCAUUGCAAUGGAUGAUGUGUGGGACACCAAUACAUGGUAUGUUGUGAAAAGAUCUUUUCCAGAUGAUAAAAAUGGA
This 12636-nucleotide long non-coding RNA is filed under the name Capsicum annuum. Its description in RNAcentral is "long non-coding RNA (CANN_LNC015152)". The record is from RNAcentral. Lineage: Eukaryota; Viridiplantae; Streptophyta; Magnoliopsida; Solanales; Solanaceae.